AGGAGAUCCAUCUUCCACUGUGUUUCAGGAGGACCGACCAGUCCUGUGCCAUGAGGAGGAUGUCGUCCAAAUAGACUAUCAGUCUUACUCCUCGACUGCGCAACCAAGCCAUGGCAGGGCGCAUCAAUUUGGUGAAGCACCACGGAGCUGACGAGAGCCCGAAAGGGAGGCAUGUGAAGUGCCAAGUGUCGCCUUUCCAGAGGAAGCGUAGGAAGUCCCUGGAUGCCUCGGUCACU
Non-coding RNA from Pelobates cultripes (western spadefoot toad), 236 nucleotides. NCBI's taxonomy places the organism in Eukaryota, Metazoa, Chordata, Amphibia, Anura, Pelobatidae. The record is from the annotation of a GenBank genome assembly.